Nicotiana attenuata is the source of this 76-nucleotide non-coding RNA. NCBI's taxonomy places the organism in Eukaryota, Viridiplantae, Streptophyta, Magnoliopsida, Solanales, Solanaceae. The record is from Rfam.
GAAAGCCGUAUGCUUUGGAAGAAGCUUGUACAGUUUGGGAAGGGUUUUGAUUGAUCAAAGAAGAAUCUACUUCAAC